UAUACCCCUGAAGAUGCAGUGGGUUAGAACGAGGCUACUUGAAGAAGAGAAGCACUGAAGAAGUCGAGGCUCAGUAAGACAGGGCAUAAUUGGGCUUUUUAGUCUUUACUCUAUUCUCGUUACACGACAACGAGCAAAGAAGGGCAGCUGUACAAGCCCAAAUAUGCCCGGGCCCAAAUAAACAUAAAAAAGAAUUAAAAAAACAAGCCCAAACAUCAGACCCAACCCACUGACCUAAAACACAAAAAAAAUGACAGAAACCCUAAAACGGCCUCCAACAUAGUCCCCAAUCGCCGCACGUCUCAAAACCGGCCUCCGCGCACGUGCGCCUUUUCCACGACCUACGUACCUGCGAGAAAAGCGAAUCCAACACCA
Molecule: long non-coding RNA, 375 nt
Filed under: Gossypium raimondii (Peruvian cotton)
Lineage: Eukaryota; Viridiplantae; Streptophyta; Magnoliopsida; Malvales; Malvaceae
Description: long non-coding RNA (GRAI_LNC000695)
Source: RNAcentral